UACGAAGGGUGCAAACGUUGCUCGGAAUUAUUGGGCGUAAAGCGCACGUAGGCGGCUUUUCAAGUCGGAUGUGAAAUCCCUCGGCUUAACCAAGGAAGUGCAUCCGAAACUGGAAGGCUUGAGUACUUAAGAGGAUCGCGGAAUUCCCGGUGUAGAGGUGAAAUUCGUAGAUAUCGGGAGGAACACCAGUGGCGAAGGCGGCGACCUGGACGGACAUUGACGCUGAGACGCGAAAGCGUGGGGAGCAAACAGG
This 253-nucleotide ribosomal RNA is filed under the name uncultured bacterium. RNAcentral's name for it is "partial 16S ribosomal RNA". It matches the Rfam family "Bacterial small subunit ribosomal RNA", at positions 524 to 776 of the family's 1533-position model. The record is from RNAcentral.